AUUGAACGCUGGCGGAAUGCUUUACACAUGCAAGUCGAACGGCAGCGUAGGUGCUUGCACCUGAUGGCGAGUGGCGAACGGGUGAGUAAUACAUCGGAACGUGCCCAGUCGUGGGGGAUAACGUAGCGAAAGUUACGCUAAUAACGCAUACGAUCUAAGGAUGUAAGAGGGGGACAGUAAGGCCUCGCGCGAUUGGCGCGGCCGAAGUCAGAUUAGGUAGUUGGUGAGGUAAAGGCUCACCAAGCCGACGAUCUGUAGCUGGUCUGAGAGGACGACCAGCCACACUGGGACUGAGACACGGCCCAGACUCCUACGGGAGGCAGCAGUGGGGAAUUUUGGACAAUGGACGCAAGUCUGAUCCAGCCAUUCCGCGUGCAGGACGAAGGCCUUCGGGUUGUAAACUGCUUUUGUACGGAACGAAAAAGCUCUUACUAAUACUAGGAGUCCAUGACGGUACCGUAAGAAUAAGCACCGGCUAACUACGUGCCAGCAGCCGCAGUAA
RNAcentral lists this ribosomal RNA (502 nucleotides) under uncultured bacterium. RNAcentral describes it as "partial 16S ribosomal RNA". It matches the Rfam family "Bacterial small subunit ribosomal RNA", at positions 30 to 523 of the family's 1533-position model. The record is from RNAcentral.